GAUUGGCUGAGUUUAACCCUGCACUCUGCCUUGAGGCUGCUAUGAUUGGCUGCCUUCCGUUCAGGUUUAACCCUGCACUCUGCCUUGAGGCUGCUAUGAUUGGCUGCCUUCCGUUCAGGUUUAACCCUGCACUCUGCCUUGAGGCUGCUAUGAUUGGCUGCCUUCCGUUCAGGUUUAACCCUGCACUCUGCCUUGAGGCUGCUAUGAUUGGCUGCCUUCCGUUCAGGUUUAACCCUGCACUCUGAUUGGCUGCCUUCCGUUCAGGUUUAACCCUGCACUCUGCCUUGAGGCUGCUAUGAUUGGCUGCCUUCCGUUAAGGUUUAACCCUGCACUCUGAUUGGCUGCCUUCCGUUCAGGUUUAACCCUGCACUCUGCCUUGAGGCUGCUAUGAUUGGCUGCCUUCCGUUCAGGUUCAACCCUGCACUCUGCCUUAAGGCAGUUAGCUACUGUAUCUUUAUCCCUGGUCUAUCAGUGUUAAUCAGCUAGCUUGCAGGGUUAGCCAGCUCAGUGUUACCAGGUUUAGUAAGAGGAGAAGCAC
Oncorhynchus keta (chum salmon) is the source of this 538-nucleotide long non-coding RNA. RefSeq lists it as uncharacterized. The transcript is spliced from 3 exons. Lineage: Eukaryota; Metazoa; Chordata; Actinopteri; Salmoniformes; Salmonidae. The record is from RefSeq and is a predicted model, not a curated record.